GGGGGCGAUGGGUUUCGACGGAGAGCAAGAAGGCAUAGGUUGCAGGCCGAGGUGCCGUUGGCCUCGUAAAAAAGCGGCAAAACAAAAAACGCCAAUACACAGUACGCUCUCGCUGCCUAAUUAGCGGCAGCGCGUCCGCCCGAACCCUGCCGGGGGCGUCGGUGUCGGGCGUGGACAAACCGGCUAUUGCAUAUCCCAAUGCCUGUAGGGAUGUGCUGAAUAUCUAAACAGGCUGGCACUGCCGAACCCUGCCCGUCGGGGACGUCAGUGCGAGAGCAAAAGACGGGAUAAGCCUGUAGAAGCCUGUGUCGGAUUCUCUCUGGACCCGGGUUCAACUCCCGGCGCCUCCACCA
This 353-nucleotide transfer-messenger RNA is filed under the name Armatimonadota. Its description in RNAcentral is "JAHWJO01 sp019348365 X1 Standard tmRNA". It matches the Rfam family "transfer-messenger RNA". Rfam says of the family: Bacterial tmRNA, also known as 10Sa RNA or SsrA, is named for its dual tRNA and mRNA-like properties. Its role is to liberate the mRNA from a stalled ribosome. The record is from RNAcentral. RNAcentral also lists the same sequence under 1 other name. Lineage: Bacteria; Bacillati.